This 496-nucleotide ribosomal RNA is filed under the name uncultured bacterium. Its description in RNAcentral is "partial 16S ribosomal RNA". It matches the Rfam family "Bacterial small subunit ribosomal RNA", at positions 29 to 507 of the family's 1533-position model. The record is from RNAcentral.
AUGCACGCUGGCGGCGUGCCUAAUACAUGCAAGUCGCGCUAACAGACGAGGAGCUUGCUCCUCUGACGUUAGCGGCGGACGGGUGAGUAACACGUGGAUAACCUACCUAUAAGACUGGGAUAACUUCGGGAAACCGGAGCUAAUACCGGAUAAUAUAUUGAACCGCAUGGUUCAAUAGUGAAAGACGGUUUUGCUGUCACUUAUAGAUGGAUCCGCGCCGCAUUAGCUAGUUGGUAAGGUAACGGCUUACCAAGGCGACGAUGCGUAGCCGACCUGAGAGGGUGAUCGGCCACACUGGAACUGAGACACGGUCCAGACUCCUACGGGAGGCAGCAGUAGGGAAUCUUCCGCAAUGGGCGAAAGCCUGACGGAGCAACGCCGCGUGAGUGAUGAAGGUCUUCGGAUCGUAAAACUCUGUUAUUAGGGAAGAACAAAUGUGUAAGUAACUAUGCACGUCUUGACGGUACCUAAUCAGAAAGCCACGGCUAACUACGUG